Molecule: transfer RNA, 69 nt
Filed under: Rattus norvegicus (Norway rat)
Lineage: Eukaryota; Metazoa; Chordata; Mammalia; Rodentia; Muridae
Rfam family: tRNA
About the family: Transfer RNA (tRNA) molecules are approximately 80 nucleotides in length.
Source: Rfam by way of RNAcentral
GGGGAUUUAGCUCAGUUGUAGAGCGCUUGCCUAGCAAGCACAAGGUCCUGGGUUCGGUCCCCAGCUCCG